This 42-nucleotide transfer RNA is filed under the name Isurus oxyrinchus (shortfin mako shark). Its description in RNAcentral is "partial tRNA-Phe". The record is from RNAcentral. Lineage: Eukaryota; Metazoa; Chordata; Chondrichthyes; Lamniformes; Lamnidae.
ACUGAAGAUGCUAAGAUGAAAAAUGACAAUUUUCCGCAGGCA